GUCUUUUAACUGUAAAAUGCUUUGCUUCACCUCACAGUGUCGCCUCUGGUGUAGUGGAGAGGCCUUGGAAAACUUCGGAUGCAAGACUUGUACUUGAAGAUGGUUCGGUUUGGAAAGCCAAGUCAUUUGGUGCUAGAGGAACCCAAGUUGGUGAAGUGGUGUUCAAUACAUCUUUGACAGGAUAUCAAGAAAUACUUACAGAUCCUAGUUACGCUGGCCAGUUUGUCUUAAUGACAAACCCACAUAUUGGAAACACUGGUGUAAAUUU
This 268-nucleotide unclassified non-coding RNA is filed under the name Hevea brasiliensis (rubber tree). Lineage: Eukaryota; Viridiplantae; Streptophyta; Magnoliopsida; Malpighiales; Euphorbiaceae. The record is from RNAcentral.